CAAUAGCGUAUAUUUAAGUUGUUGCAGUUAAAAAGCUCGUAGUUGGAUUUCGGGUAGGAUUUGCCGGUCCGUCUUUGAGAUGUGUACUGGUAAGUCCUAUCUUCUUGUCGGGGACCAGCUCCUGGGCUUCACUGUCCGGGACUGGGAGCCGACGAAGUUACUUUGAGUAAAUUAGAGUGUUCAAAGCAAGCCUACGCUCUGAAUAUAUUAGCAUGGAAUAACACGAUAGGACUCUGGCUUAUCUUGUUGGUCUGUGAGACCAGAGUAAUGAUUAAGAGGGACAGUCGGGGACAUUCGUAUUUCAUUGUUAGAGGUGAAAUUCUUGGAUUUAUGAAAGACGAACUUCUGCGAAAGCAUUUGUCAAGGAUGUUUUCAUUAA
RNAcentral lists this ribosomal RNA (379 nucleotides) under uncultured eukaryote. Its description in RNAcentral is "partial 18S ribosomal RNA". It matches the Rfam family "Eukaryotic small subunit ribosomal RNA", at positions 592 to 976 of the family's 1831-position model. The record is from RNAcentral.